Long non-coding RNA from Tupaia belangeri chinensis (Chinese tree shrew), 1171 nucleotides. RefSeq lists it as uncharacterized. The record is from RefSeq and is a predicted model, not a curated record. NCBI's taxonomy places the organism in Eukaryota, Metazoa, Chordata, Mammalia, Scandentia, Tupaiidae. The transcript is spliced from 6 exons.
CUGGAAAGGAGGCUCAGGCAUCGGUAGUUUGGCAACAUCGCAAUAACAUGCAGCUCGAACAAUAGUGAACUUAUCUGGAAGAUCACAGGUUCUGUUCCCCAGUUACCCUGUCCAUGCCUGCUGUGUGUUCUAUACCCACUCUCUGACUCGUGAGAAGGCAGGCUGAUGAGCAGUCUACCCACAGAUUAGACAUCUUAGACAAGCUUUAACCCAGCCUGAUCUCGAUGAGAUAGGCAUGUCCCAUCCAGCUAAUGUUGCGGACUUUUGAAUGAAACAGAAUCUGAAGAUAUGUGACUUUUCUGAGUCUGACUCAAAUGGUCUUUGUGCCCGAUGGAGUCCUGCCUUCUUUGCUUACUGAAUUUUAGACCUCUCACGUGACCUUGACUAGGAGCCACGCUUCAUGAUGUCGAUCUGCUCACAGCCUUUGCCUCCGGUCUCUGUGGCCCUAUUCUUAGUAUCAUGGAGUUGUUGAGAACUGAAUGAAAAAAUGUACAUGAAAGGCACUUGUGCAUCGUAAAACAUCCUACCAGUAUCAACUCUGGUGAAAUCUAAAGCACCGAACUGGCAUUCAGGUGGUGUGAUAAUUACGGUGCCAGACUCCCACAUGGCCAACCAGUGACUCUGCAGCUGUGAUGACAUUAAGGGCCUCGUGAAGAGGCGAGUACCCAGAAUUAUCCAGGUGACCUCAAUCUAGCCACACGGUCCUUGAACGUGAAGACCCUUUCCCAGCUCUGGUCAAGGGGGCUGUGACAACCAGAAAAGGAUUUACAACAAUGGCCCCAAGUUCUCAGACUUUCGGCCUCAGAUUGGGAAUCAUGUCAUUGGCUGCCCUGCCUCUGGGGUCUAUGGACUUGGACUCACGCUACCAGAAUCUCAGGUUUUCCACCCUGCAGGCAGCCUGUGGUGGGCUCCCCAACACCGUAAACAUGUGAGGAAGCCUGAGUGACAGAAAGCCUGACAGCUUGGCGGAAGGCACAGUAAGAAGCGGUCAGCAAGGGUGCUAGCCCAGGCACGGCGGAUGCAGAGCUUGUCUCAAAACCCCUAGGGACUAUCAGUCCUCUUGCAAUCCAGCCAUAUGGACCUCCUUUACGUUUCUGGGGAUACAUGGCUUCCUUUCACCCCUAGCCUUCACGAACACCAGUGUCUCAUCCAGCAUAUUCUCCUACCCUCU